UAGCGGCGAGUGAAGCGGCAAAAGCUCAAAUUUGAAAUCUGGCACUUUCAGUGUCCGAGUUGUAAUUUGAAGAAGGUAUCUUUGGGUCUGGCUCUUGUCUAUGUUUCUUGGAACAGAACGUCACAGAGGGUGAGAAUCCCGUGCGAUGAGAUGACCCAGACCUAUGUAAAGUUCCUUCGAAGAGUCGAGUUGUUUGGGAAUGCAGCUCUAAGUGGGUGGUAAAUUCCAUCUAAAGCUAAAUAUUGGCGAGAGACCGAUAGCGAACAAGUACAGUGAUGGAAAGAUGAAAAGAACUUUGAAAAGAGAGUGAAAAAGUACGUGAAAUUGUUGAAAGGGAAGGGCUUGAGAUCAGACUUGGUAUUUUGUAUGUUACUCUYUCGGGGGUGGCCUCUACAGUUUACCGGGCCAGCAUCAGUUUGGGCGGUAGGAGAAUUGCAAAGAAAUGUGGCACUGCCUCGGUAGUGUGUUAUAGUCUUUGUCGAUACUGCCAGCCUAGACUGAGGACUGCGGCUUCGGCCUAGGAUGUUGGCAUAAUGAUCUUAAGUCGCCCGUCUUG
This 556-nucleotide ribosomal RNA is filed under the name Lodderomyces parapsilosis. Its description in RNAcentral is "eukaryotic LSU rRNA". It matches the Rfam family "Eukaryotic large subunit ribosomal RNA", at positions 84 to 656 of the family's 3401-position model. Lineage: Eukaryota; Fungi; Ascomycota; Pichiomycetes; Serinales; Debaryomycetaceae. The record is from RNAcentral.